UACGUAGGGUGCGAGCGUUGUCCGGAAUUAUUGGGCGUAAAGAGCUCGUAGGCGGCUUGUCGCGUCGGAUGUGAAAGCCCGGGGCUUAACUCCGGGUCUGCAUUCGAUACGGGCAGGCUAGAGUUCGGUAGGGGAGAUCGGAAUUCCUGGGUGUAGCGGUGAAAUUCGUAGAUAUUGGGAAGAACACCGGUGGCGAAGGCGGCUCACGUCGGCCGAUGACGCUGAGGCGAAC
This 232-nucleotide ribosomal RNA is filed under the name uncultured bacterium. RNAcentral's name for it is "partial 16S ribosomal RNA". It matches the Rfam family "Bacterial small subunit ribosomal RNA", at positions 524 to 758 of the family's 1533-position model. The record is from RNAcentral.